CAGCCGCCGCGGUAAUACGAAGGGUGCAAGCGUUAAUCGGAAUUACUGGGCGUAAAGCGUGCGUAGGCGGUGAGUUAAGUCUGCUGUGAAAUCCCCGGGCUCAACCUGGGAAUGGCAGUGGAUACUGGCUCGCUAGAGUGUGUCAGAGGAUGGUGGAAUUCCCGGUGUAGCGGUGAAAUGCGUAGAGAUCGGGAGGAACAUCAGCGGCGAAGGCGGCCAUCUGGGCCAACACUGACACUGAGGCACGAAAGCGUGGGGAGCAAACAGGAUUAGAUACCCCCGUAGUCCCUGUCUCUUAUAA
This 301-nucleotide ribosomal RNA is filed under the name uncultured bacterium. Its description in RNAcentral is "partial 16S ribosomal RNA". It matches the Rfam family "Bacterial small subunit ribosomal RNA", at positions 509 to 809 of the family's 1533-position model. The record is from RNAcentral.